UGUUUUUUAGGGUUUUUUUUUUUUUUUUUUGAGAUGGAAUCUCACUCCAUCAUCCAGGCUGGGGUGCAGUGGUGCAAUCUCGGCUCACUGCAAACCUUCACCUCCCCAGUUUAAGCAAUUCUUCUGCCUCAGCCUCCCGAGUUGCUGGGACUAUAGGCACAUGCCACCACUCCUGGCUAAUUUUUGUAUUUUUAGUAAAGACAGAGUUUCCCCAUGUUGGCCAGGCUGGUCUCGAACUCCUGAUCUCAAGUGAUCUGCCCAACUCAGCCUCCCAAAGUGCUGGGAUUACAGACAUGAGCCAAUGCACCCAGCCCAAAUUUCCCCAUUUUAUAAGACAACAUUUAUAUUGGAUUAGGGACCCACCCAAUCCCAGUAGGACCACAUCUUAACUAAUUACAUCUGCAAGAACUCUAUCUCCAAAUAAGAUCACAUGCUGAGUACUGGGGGUUAGGGCUUCAACAUGUAAAUUUUGGAAGGGACACAGUUAAACCUUAACACCAGGUUUAAGGACAUUUUCCCAGAGCUAGCCCCAGCCAUGCUCAGUCUUUUCUGGAAGGUUCCAGACAAUAUCGCCUCCUGCUCUGGAAUCUAGGCCUUGAAGAGGCAGCAGAAGCCCACCUCUUAUCCACCUCCAGGAGGUGGGCUUCUGGGGGUUCCUGGACAUACACGUCCACCACAGCACAGACCCCCAUACCUCCCUGUCCUCUGCUCCCCAGAAACAAACUGAAGCGCUGAAGCAGCGGGUGCAGAGGAAGCUGGAGCAGGUGUACUACUUCCUGGAGCAGCAAGAGCAUUUCUUUGUGGCCUCACUGGAGGACGUGGGCCAGAUGGUUGGGCAGAUCAGGAAGGCAUAUGACACCCGCGUAUCCCAGGACAUCGCCCUGCUCGACGCGCUGAUUGGGGAACUGGAGGCCAAGGAGUGCCAGUCAGAAUGGGAACUUCUGCAGGACAUUGGAGACAUCUUGCACAGGUACAGCGAGGUCCUGUGGUGUACCCUGGGGUGUCUUGCAGAAAGCAUUUGGGGGAGACAGUCCCGGAAGGGACCUGGGAGGGAGAUGUUCCCAACCCCGGGGUCUGUGAUUCCA
RNAcentral lists this small RNA (1085 nucleotides) under Pan troglodytes (chimpanzee). RNAcentral describes it as "retained intron". Lineage: Eukaryota; Metazoa; Chordata; Mammalia; Primates; Hominidae. The record is from RNAcentral.